This 379-nucleotide ribosomal RNA is filed under the name uncultured eukaryote. RNAcentral's name for it is "partial 18S ribosomal RNA". It matches the Rfam family "Eukaryotic small subunit ribosomal RNA", at positions 592 to 976 of the family's 1831-position model. The record is from RNAcentral.
CAAUAGCGUAUAUUAAACUUGUUGCGGUUAAAACGCUCGUAGUUGGAUAUCUGUGAGUGGGUUUCGGUACUUCCCAGUGAAGAUUACACGGAGCUCUGCUCACAUUUGUUCAGGGAGGGUGGAUGCACUUCACUGUGUGACCACAUGAUCUGAAUUUUUACUUUGAGGAAAUGAGAGUGUUCCAAGCAGGCAAUCGCCGUGAAUAUGAUAGCAUGGAAUAAUAGCACAGGACUCUUGGUUCAAUGCUGUUGGUUUGUUGAGCUAGAGUAUCACAAUAAGGAUAGUUGGGGGUACUCGUAUUUAACUGUCAGAGGUGAAAUUCUUGGAUUUUUUAAAGACGAACAAUUGCGAAGGCAUCUACCCAGGAUGUUUUUGUUGA